RNAcentral lists this ribosomal RNA (407 nucleotides) under uncultured bacterium. RNAcentral describes it as "partial 16S ribosomal RNA". It matches the Rfam family "Bacterial small subunit ribosomal RNA", at positions 30 to 526 of the family's 1533-position model. The record is from RNAcentral.
AUUGAACGCUGGCGGCAGGCCUAACACAUGCAAGUCGAGCGGAGCGGCGGACGGGUGAGUAAUGCCUAGGAAUCUGCCUGGUCGUGGGGGGUGACGUCCGGAAACGGGCGCUAAUACCGCAUGCUAUCAGAUGAGCCUAGGUCGGAUUAGCUAGUUGGUGGGGUAAAGGCCUACCAAGGCGACGAUCCGUACCUGGCCUGCGAGGAUGAGCAGUCACACUGGAACUGAGAAACGGUCCAGACUCCUACGGGAGGCAGCAGUGGGGAAUAUUGAACAAUGGGCGAAAGCCUGAUCCAGCCAUGCCGCGUGUGUGAAGAAGGUCUUCGGAUUGUAAAGCACUUUAAGUUGGGAGGCGUUACCAACAGAAGAAGCACCGGCUAACGUCGUGCCAGCAGCCGCGGUAAUAC